UACAAUACAAUAUAGAGAGGCUUCUCAACUUACAAAGGAGUUAUAUCUGGAAACACAUUAUAAACUGAAAAGAUAUACCAUAAGUACCACAAGUCAGAUGUGGUAGCAUUUGCCUGUACCAACUACUUGGAAGACUGGCAGAAGAAUCACUUGAACCUAGGAAAUUCAGUGCCAGCCUGGCCAGCACAGUAAGACCCCAUCUCAGCAACAACAACAAAAUGAAUUUAAAACACCUAUUUUACUGAACAUUCUAACUUGGCAACACAGCAUCCCCAACUGCUGCAGCCUGAGGCCUCCUGAAUUUGGUGCUGCUCUUCUUUACCUACUUACAAGUAAUAUGAAGUUUUCAGCACUCCCGUCAGCAACGCUGAAGAUAUGGGCCUCCAACCUCAAUGAUGCUGAAAACCUGCAGAAAAACUACCCACUGCCCCAGGAUCCCAGAAGCUAAUGGAUAGGAUCUAACAAGAGCGGGAGAAGCUGCAGCCCUGGCCACUGCUCCAUGCCAACAAUGUGACACAGCAGAUCAGCAACAACGUGUGGUGCUGGAACAGAGCCUAGUAUCAUCACCAGCCUUUAGACAUAAAAGAUAUGCAGGUGCUACUUCACUUCUGCCCUCCAGUCUCACUCAAAAUUAUUCUUGUGGCCACUACUAACCCAAAAUCCAGAAGAAAGUUCUGGGAAACAUAAUUCCCAGUUAGCUCUGUGGACACAUUACAAACCCAUACAGAAAGUACACAGCUCUGCUCUCCUUAUGAUUAAGUCCUGGCCCUGAUUUUUUAGCAUUACCUGG
Molecule: long non-coding RNA, 790 nt
Organism: Heterocephalus glaber (naked mole-rat)
Lineage: Eukaryota; Metazoa; Chordata; Mammalia; Rodentia; Bathyergidae
Source: RefSeq, a predicted model, not a curated record